This 242-nucleotide ribosomal RNA is filed under the name uncultured bacterium. RNAcentral describes it as "partial 16S ribosomal RNA". It matches the Rfam family "Bacterial small subunit ribosomal RNA", at positions 333 to 591 of the family's 1533-position model. The record is from RNAcentral.
AGUGUCCUACGGGACGCAGCAGUGGGGAAUAUUGCACAAUGGGGGGAACCCUGAUGCAGCGACGCCGCGUGAGUGAAGAAGUAUUUCGGUAUGUAAAGCUCUGUCAGCAGGGAAGAAGAAAGACGGUACCUGACCAAGAAGCCCCGGCUAAAUACGUGCCAGCAGCCGCGGUAAUACGUAUGGGGCAAGCGUUAUCCGGAUUUACUGGGUGUAAAGGGAACGCAGGCGGCCUGCCAAGUCUG